AAUGGUUAACUCCGUUGCUGCCCCAUUCUCGAGCCCUUCUGAAGCACCCAAGGCUGAGGACUCUAAAAUCUGUUAUUCGGGUCAAGAAAAUGGAGCUCCACGUGCUGAAAAAGGAAAACUACACUGGUUCCUGACCUGUUAGCCUUGCACCAUUAACCUCAGGUAAAAAGAUUUUGAGUUUUUGGUUUAAAAUCUCCACAUGACAGCACCAAUCCUCAGGAGGGUGCGUUUGGCCACUAUUCGUUGGGAUGCAAAUAAAUUGUUCAUGCAGCAUCUCUUUCUUUUAUCAACGGU
RNAcentral lists this long non-coding RNA (294 nucleotides) under Olea europaea (common olive). RNAcentral describes it as "long non-coding RNA (OEUR_LNC010568)". Lineage: Eukaryota; Viridiplantae; Streptophyta; Magnoliopsida; Lamiales; Oleaceae. The record is from RNAcentral.